This 2884-nucleotide unclassified non-coding RNA is filed under the name Leishmania donovani. RNAcentral describes it as "gene:LdHU3.31.4780(CDS-product:serine/threonine_p rotein_phosphatase_pp1(5.9)_putative)". The record is from RNAcentral. Lineage: Eukaryota; Euglenozoa; Kinetoplastea; Trypanosomatida; Trypanosomatidae.
CCUUGUUAAGUGGCUAUUAAUCGCCGACGCCUCAUUUUUUUUUCUCUCUUGGUAAAGUGCUGGUGGCGAUCCGCGAAUUGUCGCACUCGUGCACGUGCAACACUGAGCAGCCUGUAGGUGCCAUAAUUCUAGUCGAGCUGCGAGACAAUGGUUGGGCUUUCGAAGGUAGAGGUCAUUAUCGGUAAGCUGCUGCUGAACCCGGCCCACAACACGGCCGCACCGAAACGAGAUGCAAAUAGCCCUCUCUCGUCUUUUGCAAGGCAGUCGCGGCUGAAGGCCUUCCAGGCAGAGACGGCAGCUGCGGCUGCGGCUGGGGCACCCAAGGCAGAUUCGGCCAAUCGCACCGGCCACACUCGAGGCCGCAGCAGUAGCAGCAUCUCCGACCCGCGGGAGUUCGCGACGGGGGAGAUGACGGAGGAAGAGGUGGUGUACCUCGUGAUGGAGUCGCGAAAGUUAUUCAUGUCACAGCCGAUGCUGAUUGAGAUAGAGGCCCCGGUGAACGUGUGCGGUGAUGUGCACGGACAAUAUCACGACCUGCUGCGCCUCUUCGAACUUGGCGGCUACCCGCCAGAUAGUAACUACAUCUUCCUCGGCGACUACGUUGACCGUGGCGAGCAGUCGCUAGAAACCGUUUGUCUGCUGCUCGCCUACAAGCUGAACUUCCCCAACAACUUUUUCCUUCUCCGUGGCAACCAUGAGAGCAGCAGCAUCAAUCGCAUCUACGGCUUCUUCGACGAGUGCAAGCGCCGCUACAGCGUAAAGCUCUGGAAACUCUUUACUGACACCUUCAACUGCAUGCCGGUGGCCGGUCUCAUCGACGGACGCAUUCUGUGCAUGCACGGCGGCCUUAGUCCGGAGCUGCACAGCCUAGAUCAAAUCCGUCGCAUUCUGCGGCCAUCUGACGUGCCGGAUAGCGGUCUCAUCUGCGACCUGCUCUGGUCGGACCCCGCCGAUGACCCGAUCAUCGGCUUUGGCGAGAACGACCGCGGCGUUUCAUGGACCUUUGGCGAGAACGUGGUGGAGAACAUCACUCAGGCGCUGGACCUGGACCUGAUCUGCCGUGCGCACCAGGUCGCCGAAGAGGGCUACAAGUUCUUCGCGAAGCGAAAACUCCUGACCGUUUUCUCGGCUCCCAACUACUGUGGCGAGUUCAACAACUACGGGGCCUUCCUGUGCGUCGAUGAAAACCUCAUGUGCAGCGUAAAGCAGCUCGUGCCGCUCUUCGAGGUGGACGACUUCGAGUGAGAAGGGAGAAGACUGGAUGCAGGUGUGUGGAGGGGGUGAUCGAGUUGUGCUUUUUUUUUCGCAGUUUCUUGCGGUAGGCUAUGCCUCUUCUCUUUCUGUGGUUAGUGAAGCUGAGGCUCUUGCUGGUGCACGUGGUCGUCGAUCCCUUGCCCUCGUGCUGAUUUUCCCCAUGAUAUGGGUGUCUUGCUGCCAUGCACAGGCGCGGAUGCGCAGUUUCCUUUGGAGCGGCACCCCCUGCCCAUACCGUACGUCCCCUCGAUGCGACCACGCCGCGGCAGAUGCGCACGUGUCUCUCCCCGUUGGCGUGCCCGUUGUGCAGGUCCUGCGUCGCACUGCUCCUUUUCUUGCUUUGUUCUCGCUUGGGCUCUGUACCAUCCCCUCUCUUUCUCCGUGUAUGCGUGUGCGUGCGUGCCGCUUGCGUGGUGGCCUUUCCUCCUGUGCUGCACAUCGUGCACGUGCCUGUAGGUGGGCGUGUUUCUUGUUUUCUCUCUCUUUUUGAUGUGUGCGCGGCUCGAACGUGCCCUCGCCCUCACUGCCUCGUCUCUGUUCUUGUCAUCGAGAGUACUGCGACACUCAGUCGCCCUGCGACCGCUCCGGUGGGCUUCUCUUUUUUUUGGAAGGGGCUAUGAAGGACAUUUCUGGCACGUGAUGGGAUGUGCGCUCUCUGCUUUAACGCCGCAUUUGCCAGUGGGGCCACGACAAGCACAUGUUUGUCGCCGUUGGCGCAGCAUUUAGCAGACGUCGCCCUCCCCCUCCCCCUCCACCUUCCCCUUCCGGUGACGUGCUGCACACCUUCUCCCAGCACAACCUCCAAUAUGCACACUCAGAGACAGUGGCCGACAUCCCAAGUCUUUCCCUUUCGGUUGAACGGUGUACGUCACGAAUUUGAAUGCUGUAAGCUUGCUCCUUGUCUUUGCUGUGCUGCUGCUGCUCUCUCUCUCUCUGGCGGGGAGAAAAGAGAGCGGAGGAGGCACGUUGGAUUAUCACAAGCGCGCUUCACUCUUCUCUCUCUUUGUAUGCAUGCUUGUUUUCUCCUCGUCGCUGCUCCAUGGGCGUUUACAGUUGUUGCUGUCGUGUGUGCGUUUUAUGUGACCGACUGGCCAUGUUGUUGUAGUUGUAGUGCGCGUUGUGUCAUGUUGUAUGUCUGGAAAGCGAAGGUUCGUGCUGGCUUCUCUGCUGUCUGUGUGACCUUUAACGGGAGUUUCUGCUCUGACGCGCGCGAGAUACUUUUCCGUGGGCUGCACCUCUUUUUUUGGGGGGGGGGCGCGGCAGUCUGUGCUGGGGCUCGUCGCACGUUUUUUGUUUCUGGUGUUCACGCUUUCGUAGCGUUGUGUCAUCGUUGCUGGUCUUCCACCACAAACUCUGAAACUUAUUUUCGCCUUUACAGGAAAGCAGAGUGUUGUCGGCACCCUAUUCGUGUGCACGCAUGAAGGCUCGAGGAUCUUGCUGCCUUGCUGUUGAUGCAGUGGCUUGAUCUCCGCUGCGUGGAGUAUCUGUGAACGUAUCCGCUCUCUGGGUCUGGAUAUGCGUCUGCUCCUCUCGUGCAUAACACUUCGACUCCCUCACUGUCUCCGUCUUUUUCGAGCUGUGCUGACUCCUCGGAUUGUCUCUCUCAUCUCAUCUUUCAUCACCGGUUUAG